Caenorhabditis elegans is the source of this 21-nucleotide non-coding RNA. The record is from Ensembl. Lineage: Eukaryota; Metazoa; Nematoda; Chromadorea; Rhabditida; Rhabditidae.
UUCAUCAACUCCGGAAUAAAA